Long non-coding RNA from Pelmatolapia mariae (spotted tilapia), 307 nucleotides. RefSeq lists it as uncharacterized. The record is from RefSeq and is a predicted model, not a curated record. The transcript is spliced from 3 exons. NCBI's taxonomy places the organism in Eukaryota, Metazoa, Chordata, Actinopteri, Cichliformes, Cichlidae.
CUGGAAUGAGAGCAGCACUGAGUGUAUCACUAAAGGAGGAGACCUGGUUAAGAUAGACAGCAAAGAGGAGCAGAGUUUCUUGAGGAUAGCUAUUCAACAAAAAAUCGAGAGCUAUGACGACCUUUUCUGGAUCGGACUGACAGACUCAGCAGUAGAGGGCAGAUGGUUGUGGGUGGACGGCUCACCGCUGAAUGAAAGUUUGACAUUUUGGUUCUUUCAUGAUGAGCCAGAUGGUUUGACUGGAGAAGAUCCUGAUGGACAGGACUGUGCGAAGAUGGGGCCAAUGUAUUGGUUUGCUAUUUCCUGC